This is a non-coding RNA of Paramuricea clavata, 213 nucleotides long. The record is from the annotation of a GenBank genome assembly. NCBI's taxonomy places the organism in Eukaryota, Metazoa, Cnidaria, Anthozoa, Malacalcyonacea, Plexauridae.
GUUCGAGAGAACUAGACUAUUGUCUUGCGUUCCCUUGAGGAUUAAGAACAAUACGAGAACGCUACGAAAACGGUACAGUGUAAACGCUGCCUAAAUUAUCCCAAGCGUGCACUGAUAUUAAUUAGUUUUCUGCAUUACAAAUAACUUUGUGUUAUUCUAAUUUCUAUAAUUAGAAUGUGUUUUCAAAUCCCAGGAGCAAAAUAAGUAGCACAG